Molecule: long non-coding RNA, 664 nt
Filed under: Olea europaea subsp. europaea
Lineage: Eukaryota; Viridiplantae; Streptophyta; Magnoliopsida; Lamiales; Oleaceae
Source: RNAcentral
AAACAAAUGUAAUUUCUUUACAAAUAGAGCUUUUCCAGCUGCCAUAUGCACAAAAAUCUUCGCACCAUGCAGAAGGUGCGCCGUCUGUUUUACUCCGCCGGGCCGGCCGCCGCAUGCCCAACGCCAACAAACGGACGUCGUUUUCACAAAACUCAUAGAGCCACCAUCAGUUGAGCACGUUAACUAUCUGACAUAAUUCCUGAACAAAACUUGCAUUAUUGUUGCUGCAGUCCCCGAUGCACUCAUAUUUUCAUCCACAAGUCAUUUUCCCAAUUGUUACACUCCAAUAAUUAACAGUUUUACAGCACCCAAAAAAUCCAAAAUUCAUUUAACUGUCUCUUUGCUGACGAAUCAUGCUCUGUCCGUGAAUAGUGUUUCACAGCUUUGAGUCCGCUCCACCUAUAUACACACACGUCUUCUAGCAAUAAAUCAAACAUAUAAUCGACGCAUAAUUCAUGCGAGGCUCAUUGUUGUGCGAACUGGUACUUGGCGUCACUGAACUGUUGCAGGUGUCUCCAUUUAUCAGUCACACACCGAUUGAUUUCUCAUCUCAAUAGGAAAUAUCGCCAUAGAAAGGGUAUUUUAUAAAACUCUCUAGUUUUGAAAAUGUGGUUUUUUAUCCCAUUUAGGAAAUAUUAAAAUCAUUUGCACUCCAGGUGAUCCA